This 497-nucleotide ribosomal RNA is filed under the name uncultured bacterium. RNAcentral describes it as "partial 16S ribosomal RNA". It matches the Rfam family "Bacterial small subunit ribosomal RNA", at positions 355 to 843 of the family's 1533-position model. The record is from RNAcentral.
UAGGGAAUCUUCGGCAAUGGGGGCAACCCUGACCGAGCAACGCCGCGUGAGUGAAGAAGGUUUUCGGAUCGUAAAGCUCUGUUGUAAGUCAAGAACGGGUGUGAGAGUGGAAAGUUCACACUGUGACGGUAGCUUACCAGAAAGGGACGGCUAACUACGUGCCAGCAGCCGCGGUAAUACGUAGGUCCCGAGCGUUGUCCGGAUUUAUUGGGCGUAAAGCGAGCGCAGGCGGUUUGAUAAGUCUGAAGUUAAAGGCUGUGGCUCAACCAUAGUUCGCUUUGGAAACUGUCAAACUUGAGUGCAGAAGGGGAGAGUGGAAUUCCAUGUGUAGCGGUGAAAUGCGUAGAUAUAUGGAGGAACACCGGUGGCGAAAGCGGCUCUCUGGUCUGUAACUGACGCUGAGGCUCGAAAGCGUGGGGAGCGAACAGGAUUAGAUACCCUGGUAGUCCACGCCGUAAACGAUGAGUGCUAGGUGUUGGAUCCUUUCCGGGAUUACA